CCUACGGGAGGCAGCAGUGGGGAAUAUUGCGCAAUGGGCGAAAGCCUGACGCAGCGACGCCGCGUGAGGGAUGAAGGUCUUCGGAUCGUAAACCUCUGUCAGCAGGGAAGAACGGUCACUGUGCUAAUCAGCAGUGAAUUGACGAUACCUGCAAAGGAAGCACCGGCUAACUCCGUGCCAGCCGCCGCGGUAAUACGGAGGGUGCGAGCGUUAAUCGGAAUUACUGGGCGUAAAGCGCUCGUAGGCGGUAUGUCAAGUCAAGGGUGAAAUCCCCGCGCUCAACGUGGGAACUGCCUUUGAAACUGGCAAACUGGAGUGUGUGAGAGGAUAGUGGAAUUCCAGGUGUAGGAGUGAAAUCCGUAGAUAUCUGUAGGAACAUCAGUGGCGAAGGCGACUAUCUGGCACAUAACUGACGCUGAGGAGCGAAAGCGUGGGUAGCAAACAGGAUUAGAUACCCUUGUAGUC
RNAcentral lists this ribosomal RNA (465 nucleotides) under uncultured bacterium. Its description in RNAcentral is "partial 16S ribosomal RNA". It matches the Rfam family "Bacterial small subunit ribosomal RNA", at positions 338 to 795 of the family's 1533-position model. The record is from RNAcentral.